AGGAUGAACGCUGGCGGCGUGCCUAAUACAUGCAAGUCGUGCGGUAACAUGCCCUUCGGGGUGAUGACGAGCGGCGGACGGCUGAGUAACGCGUGGGAACGUGCCCCAAAGUGAGGAAUAAGCUCCAGAAAUGGAGUCUAAUGCCGCAUAUGGUCUUCGGAUUAAAGCUUUCGAGCGCUUUGGGAGCGGCCCGCGUACGAUUAGAUAGUUGGUGAGGUAAAGGCUCACCAAGUCUACGAUCGUUAACUGGUCUGAGAGGAUGAUCAGUCAGACUGGAACUGAGACACGGUCCAGACUCCUACGGGAGGCAGCAGUAAGGAAUCUUCCACAAU
Molecule: ribosomal RNA, 332 nt
Filed under: uncultured bacterium
Lineage: Bacteria
Description: SSU rRNA
Rfam family: Bacterial small subunit ribosomal RNA
Source: RNAcentral